CGGAGCGCGAGCGGGCCAGCGCCAAGUUCGGGGUUUGGGGUUGGAGCGGUCGGUCACGUGGCUGGCCCGCGGCGGUGCGCUGGGCGUUGGGUCAGCGGGUCUGGGACUCUGGUGGCACCGGCGGCGGCGUAGGACCGAGGCGUCGCUAGGCAGCUUCGAACCAGUGCAAUGACGAUGCCAGUCAACGGGGCCCACAAGGAUGCUGACCUGUGGUCCUCACAUGACAAGAUGCUGGCACAACCCCUCAAAGACAGUGAUGUUGAGGUUUACAACAUCAUUAAGAAGGAGAGUAACCGGCAGAGGGUUGGAUUGGAGCUGAUUGCCUCGGAGAAUUUCGCCAGCCGAGCAGUUUUGGAGGCCCUAGGCUCUUGCUUAAAUAACAAAUACUCUGAGGGGUACCCGGGCCAGAGGUAUGUGAAUCUCUUCAAAGGCCUGGUUCUGACACAGUCAUAGGGAGUACUCAAUCACCCUAGGACCUAAACAAUUUGGAAAUUUCAGAAAACAACAAGCUUCCCAACUGUAGGAUUUCUGUUCCACGCCUGCUCUCUGACAGAACUCUUUUAUUCCUAGCA
Molecule: small RNA, 572 nt
Filed under: Pongo abelii (Sumatran orangutan)
Lineage: Eukaryota; Metazoa; Chordata; Mammalia; Primates; Hominidae
Description: retained intron
Source: RNAcentral